UUACUACGUCCUUGUUAAGUAUUACCGCUCAUUUAAUAUAAAAAAAACCCAAUACCAACAGUUUUAAGUUAAAUUUUUGCUUAAACUUAUAGUUUUAAAAUGCGUUCUUUAGAAAAUGUAUAUUUCAUCAAAUUUUUUUUUUCGCCAAAAAAAAUUAAUAAUAUUUAUUUUGAAAACCAAAGUUAAAUAACUUGAGAAAUGUCCUUGAAAUAAUCCUCAAAAAUACACAUCUCCAUGACAACCAAACGUCAGUAAUACAUAAGAAAAUUGCCGGGACAAUGGUGAAGAUUGAUUAAUAAUUUAAUAAUUUCUCUUAAUGGACAUUUUAAGAGAAGCUAAAGACGGUGGGUGGAAAACGUCAGAAUCGAUAAUGGGAGAAGUACGCUCCUACCUUCUUUUUUAUCAUUCAUUUGAAAUCAACGUUGACUUGGAAUUUAAAAAAAAGUUUUGCUGAAAGUCUUCACAAUAAAACACUUUCCACGUGCGAUCAACACGUGUCCUACGUUUUAACAAUAUUGGACAGAUGCUAUACUGCUACAUCAUUUUCAAGACUUACAUAAAAAGUAGUCAUGAACGCUCUACAAAUGAUCCCACGCACUCAUUCUACUAUAAAACAUGUAAUAAGCAUUAGACGGUGAUGGAUUAAGGUUAAGUAAUUCACUGUGAAGGCGCCUCUGGACUAGGAAUACAAAUUGUUAAGUAUUCUUUUAAUAACAGGAAGAAAAUGUAAACGAGCAAAAACAAUUAAUACAUUGUUAACUAGACCGAUUGUGUAUAUGUGAUAACUCGUAACAUUCUCAAG
Molecule: long non-coding RNA, 802 nt
Organism: Daktulosphaira vitifoliae (grape phylloxera)
Lineage: Eukaryota; Metazoa; Arthropoda; Insecta; Hemiptera; Phylloxeridae
Exons: 5
Source: RefSeq, a predicted model, not a curated record